UACGGAGGAUCCAAGCGUUAUCCGGAAUCAUUGGGUUUAAAGGGUCCGUAGGCGGCUUUGUAAGUCAGUGGUGAAAUCCGGCAGCUUAACUGUCGAACUGCCAUUGAUACUGCAGGGCUUGAAUAAUUGGGAAGUAACUAGAAUAUGUAGUGUAGCGGUGAAAUGCUUAGAUAUUACAUGGAAUACCGAUUGCGAAGGCAGGUUACUACCAAUUCAUUGACGCUGAUGGACGAAAGCGUGGGGAGCGAACAGG
This 253-nucleotide ribosomal RNA is filed under the name uncultured bacterium. RNAcentral describes it as "partial 16S ribosomal RNA". It matches the Rfam family "Bacterial small subunit ribosomal RNA", at positions 524 to 776 of the family's 1533-position model. The record is from RNAcentral.